UGAGCAAACUCCACAUGAGGUGCUUAGUUCAAAGUGGAAUGAGAUUUGCCUUUCCCUUGAUUUGAAAGUGGGACUCCAAGUCUAUCCCACGUGAGAUUCAUAGGUCAAAAACCCAUUUAGAGAACUUUUUUUUUUGCCUUCUGAAUUUUCAGCUCCAUUUAACAUGAAACUUUGAACCCACUUUGAAUUUUCAAGCCUUCUGACAACAAAGCUUUACUCCUCUUGUUUUUUGUUAUGUGACUUUAAAGCUUUUAAGUUCAACAACUUUCCUUCUUUUCCACGUGAGCAAGCCCUCUCGUGCGGUGCGACUUUAUCCAUUCCCCCUCUUGUGUAAUUGCUUCAGAAGUUCUCCUUUUCUUGACUCUAACAAGGUGGUUUUCAUCCAACAGCAACCGUAAUACUUGGGCUUUAAAUGAUUUCGUAAUGUUUUGGAAUUCUUUUCAGGUUUCAAACGUUGAUUUCCAAACGAAGAUGGGUGAGUAUUGAUUUGUUCCAAUUUACCCUUUUUCCUCCCUAAACCGUCGAAAGAAAAUCGAGACGAAGAGGAGAAGAGAUCGAGCAGGAGUCCCAGGAAACGACAUAUCUUCGUUUUGGUUGUCGGACCAACUAUUUUGUAGUACCGAGUUUGUUGAAGACAAUUGUUGAUUCAUGGCUCCAAAGAGUUUCUCUGCUCUUUUUUCUGUCCUCCCUCUCUUGUUGCAGCUGAUGCCUAUUUAUAAGCAUCAUAGGAGGGUUCUAGAGCUUGUUAUGUGGGGGGGGGGGGAGAUGGAGGGCAUGACUUCCUGCCACUCUCUCUUAACCUCUCUUAAUUGACCCUACGUUUUUUUGUUGCAGGAAAGGGGGAACCUGUUUAUUACUUCCCCCUUUUGUAGGAAAUUUUCCUUAUUUACUUAUUUAUAUUUUAUUUAUUUGUUUAUGGAUAUUUGGUUUGUAUGUAAAGCCCAUUCUUAACUUUUGGGCUGGUUUACAUCUUUGUUUUGCCUUA
This is a non-coding RNA of Malus domestica (apple), 985 nucleotides long. The record is from RefSeq and is a predicted model, not a curated record. Lineage: Eukaryota; Viridiplantae; Streptophyta; Magnoliopsida; Rosales; Rosaceae.